AGUAGAAUUCCUUCGUGAAGAGGUCUGUCUACAAACACAUCUGAAGUCCAGCAGCUGUGGGACACGUUGAAACUACAGCUAACACCUGCUGAUGAAGGAAUGAUCAUAGACCAGGAAGAAGAAAUGAGUCAUUUAAAAGAGAACAAAAGCGGUAAAGGGCUGGAUGCUGUUUUUAAUCCUCCAAAUCUCUUCUACAGAACAGACAUGGAGCCGUUGUUGGUGAUUAAAGAAGAAACUCUCGCUGAAUACCAGGA
Long non-coding RNA from Thalassophryne amazonica, 254 nucleotides. RefSeq lists it as uncharacterized. NCBI's taxonomy places the organism in Eukaryota, Metazoa, Chordata, Actinopteri, Batrachoidiformes, Batrachoididae. The transcript is spliced from 3 exons. The record is from RefSeq and is a predicted model, not a curated record.